This 76-nucleotide transfer RNA is filed under the name Terriglobia bacterium. RNAcentral describes it as "tRNA-Ala". It matches the Rfam family "tRNA". Rfam says of the family: Transfer RNA (tRNA) molecules are approximately 80 nucleotides in length. Their secondary structure includes four short double-helical elements and three loops (D, anti-codon, and T loops). Further hydrogen bonds mediate the characteristic L-shaped molecular structure. tRNAs have two regions of fundamental functional importance: the anti-codon, which is responsible for specific mRNA codon recognition, and the 3' end, to which the tRNAs corresponding amino acid is attached (by aminoacyl-tRNA synthetases). tRNAs cope with the degeneracy of the genetic code in two manners: having more than one tRNA (with a specific anti-codon) for a particular amino acid; and 'wobble' base-pairing, i.e. permitting non-standard base-pairing at the 3rd anti-codon position. The record is from RNAcentral. Lineage: Bacteria; Pseudomonadati; Acidobacteriota; Terriglobia.
GCCCCGGCACCCGAGCGGAAAGGGGAGCGAGCUUGCAACUCGCUGUAUGGGAGUUCGAUUCUCCCCCGGGGCUCCA